UACGUGCGAAGCGCCGAAGCCGCGAGGCGACGGCGUUCUCGCCGGAUGUAGGAACCGACCCGGGGACCGCCGGGGCAACCCGGCGCCCCCGAGACGGGGCGAACCACGGUGAAAUGACGGAUCGUCGGCCCCGCGCCGGCGACUCGCCGAAUGAGUUUCUGACCUAUCAACUCGAGACGGCGGGGUAGAGGCCCGCCGCGGUAACGACGGGUAACGGGGAAUCAGGGUUCGAUUCCGGAGAGGGGAGCCCGAGAAACGGCUACCACUUCCAAGGAAGGCAGCAGGCGCGCAACUUACCCUAAUCUCGAUUCGAGGAGGUAGUGACAAGAAAUACCGAUGCGGGACCCUACGGGUGCCGCGUUCGGAAUGAGUACGAUUCGAACCACCUAACGAGGAACGAUCGGAGGGCAAGUCUGGUGCCAGCAGCCGCGGUAAUUCCAGCUCCAAUAGCGUACGUUAAAGUUGCUGCAGUUAAAAAGC
Molecule: ribosomal RNA, 480 nt
Filed under: uncultured eukaryote
Lineage: Eukaryota
Description: bacterial SSU rRNA
Rfam family: Eukaryotic small subunit ribosomal RNA
Source: RNAcentral